UCAAGCAAAGGUUGUUACUCAGUGUCGUGGGCUUACACUGACUGGAGAUGUACAAGACCUCAUCCAAAAUGCUGAAGCCACUGAAGUAGAUGAUGGCUGGGACAGUGACAUGUCAUCAAUGCUGUUGCUGGUUCACCUUCUGCCACCUUCAAGCCAAGGCCGAAAAAGACCAGGGAAAAUCUCAGCCAGACAAGCAUGCGACAGUCUUGUAAAAUUCAUCAAGAUUGGGACCAGCAUCCAAGGACACCUGGACAACAUCUCUGGGAGUCUCCAGCCAUACCUACUUGCUGUUGGUGCCAAGAAGAGCAUGAUCGAGUCUUACUACAUCGUGAUCGACAA
Long non-coding RNA from Gadus chalcogrammus (walleye pollock), 339 nucleotides. RefSeq lists it as uncharacterized. The transcript is spliced from 3 exons. The record is from RefSeq and is a predicted model, not a curated record. Lineage: Eukaryota; Metazoa; Chordata; Actinopteri; Gadiformes; Gadidae.